Molecule: long non-coding RNA, 314 nt
Organism: Neogale vison (American mink)
Lineage: Eukaryota; Metazoa; Chordata; Mammalia; Carnivora; Mustelidae
Exons: 3
Source: RefSeq, a predicted model, not a curated record
CUCUUCAGCUGGGUCUUUGGAGAGCUGACUUCUUAUCCUUCAUGUCUAUCCAUGUCACCUCCUUAGAGACCGUCCCUGGUCACCUUGUCUGAAGAUGGCAUUACCCCUUCUCCAGCUGAGGCCCCACUGCGAGGACUCUUGAAGAAUGCUGCCCACUGCCACCGCCCAUCCUGCGAAGGCCAAAGUCCCUGCAAGAGUGGCAGAUCGUAUACUCUCUGGGAGCCAAGGAUGAAGUUUUGUAUCUUCCAGCUCUGAUAAAUUUGGAAGCUGUGAUAACCCACUAUCAAUGAGUACCCCUAGGACCCAGAACGUGU